GAUGAACGCUAGCGGCAGGCUUAAUACAUGCAAGUCGAGGGACAGCACAGGUAGCAAUACUGGGUGGUAACCGGCAAACGGGUGCGGAACACGUACACAACCUUCCUUUAAGUGGGGGAUAGCCCAGAGAAAUUUGGAUUGAUACCCCGUAAUAUAGUUGAAUGGCAUCAUUUGAUUAUUAUAGCUACGGCGCUUAAUGAUGGGUGUGCGGCUGAUUAGAUAGUUGGCGGGGUAACGGCCCACCAAGUCUACGAUCAGUAGCUGAUGUGAGAGCAUGAUCAGCCACACGGGCACUGAGACACGGGCCCGACUCCUACGGGAGGCAGCAGUAAGGAAUAUUGGUCAAUGGACGCAAGUCUGAACCAGCCAUGCCGCGUGAAGGAUUAAGGUCCUCUGGAUUGUAAACUUCUUCUAUUUGGGACGAAAAAGGGUCUUUCUAGGUCAACUGACGGUACCAGAUGAAUAAGCACCGGCUAACUCCGUGCCAGCAGCCGCGGUAA
Molecule: ribosomal RNA, 500 nt
Filed under: uncultured bacterium
Lineage: Bacteria
Description: partial 16S ribosomal RNA
Rfam family: Bacterial small subunit ribosomal RNA
Source: RNAcentral